This 1974-nucleotide long non-coding RNA is filed under the name Triticum aestivum (bread wheat). Its description in RNAcentral is "long non-coding RNA (TAES_LNC006696)". Lineage: Eukaryota; Viridiplantae; Streptophyta; Magnoliopsida; Poales; Poaceae. The record is from RNAcentral.
ACCCAUCUUAAAUUAUUUGGUAUAUUUGCAUUGGAAUCAAUUUUCAGUGUCCCUGAUGUAGUGAUGAUUUUAUAUCGCCCUUAAUAGUUGGUGAAAUUGUAGAUGUGCAUACACUUGAUGUAGCAAUAUCAUGGCGAACAUCCACACUAAUAUUGUUUGUUGGCACACUGUGCCACCUUGGCUGCUGCUUCAUAAACGACUUAAUGGGAUGGCACAUGAGGCAACAUGCUGCUACUCUCCUGUCAUCUAGUGCUUAACAAAAUCUUAUCUGUCGCAUGAAUACUGCUAAGUUUGCAUAAUCUGUACAGUUUUCGACUUAAACAUGUCCUAAAUCCAUAUAUCGGCAACAUUAUAUCUGUGUGUGUGGCUGGACACAUGGUCUUGUACCUCCUCUCUCUAUUUUAGUUAUGAUAAGCUGAUGGUGCAUUGACAUGCUACUGUGUACUUCUCUGCCCUGUCCAUUCACAUGUUUCUUUUGGUAGGUUUCAUCGGUUCUGGGACCCAAAUUGCUGAGGGGACUUCCACAACUUGUAUUGCUUGAUUUCCCUGUCUGAGACUACAAUCUUGUCCUAGGUGGAUUCUCCUUUCUCCUUCCCUCAUUUAUCUGCUACGAAUUCAUGUCUAUUGGCAAAUUAAAUUGUCCCUGUUGAAGCCAAAAUUUACAAAUAUCCAUGAUGAGGCCUGAUGUCUCGUAUUAUGACUUAAUCUUGAUGAUCGAGGAAGUUAGCUUUCAGGCAAUUGACUUGCUGUUCUAUGCAAAAAAAAAACCCCGUCUAGGUAGCCCCUGCUUAGUUUACAUUUAUGAUCAAGGUCUUGUGAUGAAAAUGUUGUCCUACCCUGAGAUUGUGAAAGCUGUCCAUCUGUAUGUGUCUAAGGAGAAGGUCUUGAGUUUUGAAGUUGCAGCUUUCUGUAGCUUCAAGAUAUGAAUAUCAUUUCAUCUAAUAUUAUUGUCUCUUGGAAGGUGAGGGAAACGAGGGAUCUUACGGGCGAAUCUUUUCCAAGACUGAACCAGCAGGGGACUAGAACUGAACAGCCACACCCAGCUCGCUCAAAAAAAGGUGCACUUCUUCCAUCGAGGUAAAGAUCCGCCAAGGGGCAUGGUUUACUGCACCCAAAUUCCCAACCCAAACCACAUUAUCAUGCCUCCUUGAAAAAUGAAUUUUGUUACAAAUUUUGCCUAAUCUGCUAUAUGCAAGUAAACCAAGCAUUAGCAAGUGAGGUAACCUUGGGCAUUAGACUUCGAUGUCGGGUCCAGUUUAUUUAGUUUUUUGGGGCACCUAUACUGGGCUGACAUUAAGAGAGCUCAUGUUGUUCAUGCAAAUUAUAUUAUCAUUGUCGUCGAAUGCUAAUAUUGAUCAUAAUAUAGGCUGCUUCCAAAGUAAUAUUUGAAGUACUGAUCCAAGAACUAAGGCUCGUGGUAUUGAGUUAGGUGAUGAAUUUACCCAUGUGUGCAUAGAUCAACCUAUUCUUGAUAAUGAGGAGUUGGUAAGGGAAGUUUCCAAUUGCAAGACAAUUGGCGAGGCUUUCUCUUCGGGAUACUUAAUUGCAUGGCCUUUCGCUUUUGAAAGUUAAAAUAUUCUCUUACACAUUCUGAAAUCAUAUUUGUGUACAUUUAAUUACAUAUAUCUAAGGUGCAAUUUUCUUUUACAGAUUCGAGAGAAGGAUAAUUGAUUUGCAGCGGAAUUCUUGGAUCAAGAAGCAAAUAAAAUUUGAAGAUUUUAGCUACCAAUAGUCGUAGUUUACAUACAUAGAUUGAAAAAUGUAAUAUCAUCAAGAAGGAUCUUUUUCUUUUGUCGAAUUGAUGCAAAUGCUAUGUUGUAAUAUUCUCCAUAGUUGUGUUCUCUACGCUCAAAAUGAUAUGAAUGAUAUCUUUACUGUAAUGCAUACGUAUCAUAUGCUCUUGUAUAUUCGUAAUAAAUAGCUUCAUAUUUUGAAUUUCUAUAUGUGUUGUGCUUCAAUUUAUAUAUCAUUUUG